Equus caballus (horse) is the source of this 5460-nucleotide long non-coding RNA. NCBI's taxonomy places the organism in Eukaryota, Metazoa, Chordata, Mammalia, Perissodactyla, Equidae. The record is from Ensembl.
CACAUCGGAGACAGUGUGGCGCUUGUUGAAAACGUCUGUGGUUAAGGCCCAAAAAACUGCAUUUCAGAAAAAAAUUCCAAGGACAAUCUCAUGCAAGGAAAGAGCCCCACCAUUAAACAAACAAUCUAGGAUGGAAACCUCCAAAAGCUCUAGGGGCAGCAAGAAUGACUCAGCUGGAGCACGGUAAGUCCCUUGUCCAAGGUGUCCUUUGUGUGGGAAGUGUCCCCCUUUCCAGGAAGGGUUCUCACCUGACGUGGGCCACAAAGAGGACCCUGCUUCCGCAGUCGGGGCUUCUAGAGUGCCUCCACUGUCCUUUAGGUUUUCUCUGCUGUAAUCACUGGGGAUCUCAACCCUCAUCUGGGUCAUUUCUGUCUGAAGACCUCUGUGAUUUUCUUCUCCUCUUGGAGAAAGAGAGGGCGGAGGUCAGUUCUGGGGCUCCACAGUUCUAGGCUUUCUCCUAAGCCGCCUACGGGAGCGGAAAGAGAUCACGACGGAGAGAAAGGUCAAUAAAGAGGAUCCCAGAGGAGCACGAGAUUGCAAGGGCAGGCCCUCAUGGGAGACAGUCAGAACCCCGACAGGGUCAAUAUCAGACCUAUUCAGAGGGAGAGGACACACCGAUCGAUUCUGUGGGCAGAGGAUCCAGUCCUGUCCUUCCAGACUUCUGAUCUACAGAACUGUGAGAUGACAAAUGUGUGUUGUUUUAUACCACUGUCUCUGUAAUCUGUUAACAGGCAGCAAUAGAAAACUAAUUCAGAUGCUUGUCUCUAUUCUGUUGAUUUUUUAAUUUUCAAAACACGUAUGGUAAUGCCCAUAAACUAAAAAAGACCAAAGAACCACAGUAAAAACCUUGUGCCGUGCAAAUCUUGUGUUCCCCUUCCUAUGACUGUUCCCAAACCCUUGUAUCAGGAAGGACACUAUGAAGGGCAUUUCAGGCGCUGGAGGAAUGUCUCUUUAAUGUGACCAACCCAAUCUCUAAAAGAGUGAAGAGGCCACGAUACUUAACUCCCCAUAACAUUCUCUACGAAUCCAUCAUCUAUCUCUAUUUUCUAAGAUCAUGUUUUAGCUCCUUGUUCUUCUGAACUCACCACACAAGGUUUUAUAGCAAGUACCAGUUCCCGGCACAGGCGAACCAAUUCAAGGAGAGCAAUAGAACAGACACUCUAUUAAGUUCCCCAAACACAUUGUUUACAUUGAAUGCAAUCUCUCCUCCUAUUCGGACUAGAAAUAAAGAACAGUUCUAUUUUUGGAACUCCAUUUCUAACGAAAAUUUCAACUUACAGGUCUCUAUUUUCCAGGUGUUCUUCUGCUCGAUUCCAGUCAUGGACACCUCACUCCUUAGGGUUAGCGAGUUCCCAAUGCCCUGCAGCCUGGACUCUCUCAGUGGAACUCAGGGGAACGCAACCUCAAACCUCAUCUAUGAACCAGGCCCUCACCCUCAAAAUCCAGGACAGUGUGCAAACCCAACAGGCAAUAGCAUCCACCCAGGAGGAGGGAUAUGUUUGCACGUCUCUUGGCCCAGAUUAUCCGAGAGAACAGAGCAGUCAUAACAUAGAAGAGAACAGAGAAAAAUCAUAUGGAUUUCAGCUUUGCCAGGAUGUCGGUGAAGUCAGACGAAUGAGCAUAAACUCAUUGGAGGAACUCUCUCAAGAAGGAUUUAAUUGUUGACAAAAAUAGACGAUCGUGGGGUGUGUUCUUUCUGGCUGCAAGGAAUGAAAGACCGAACUUGCUGACGAAGAAGUGUGUUCCUGGCGAUUUGGCUUAAGGGAAUUGACACCAGCUUUCCAGGAGGAGCAGCUGUAAACACCCAGCCUCAGGAAGGAAGCUUAUGUUCUCUGUGAGAUAUCUAGGCUCUGAAACUCCACAACUUGUUUUCACCCUUAAAGAAAAAACAGAUUCUUUCCACCUAAUCCUUUUAGUAACCAACGUGAACCGUAGGAAUUUAGGCAGGAUUUUUCCACGUCUGAUUUAAAGUCGAGAGAUUGAGGACAAGGUGAAGAGAGAAUCUAGUUAAGAGAGAACGUGCAGGACAAAUAUAGCUUAAAAGGACCUGGGAUCAGUGAAAACCCGGUGUCCCUCGCGGGGCCUGACCACCCUCCCUUCAUCUGACAGAUGAACCAGCCCACCUAUUACCCAACGAAAGGCGGGCGCUGGUCCUCUCUGCCAGGUCUCUCUAGCCCCAGGCUGCCGCAGCCUGGGCUCUUCUCCCUUGUCUAACCGCGCCAGCGCCAGAAGACCUGGGUCCAAGAAUUGUGUGGAGAUAUCUACACUACCAUCGUGUGAUAUCCUAAGAAUCAGAAAUUUCUGUUGGUGACAAAGUGACAGGACUGUCAUAUGCCCACAUUCAGACGGAAAAGCUACAUUUCUUGAAGAAAUUAGUCAAGUAAAGACGUCAUUCUCCCACCCACCUUAGAUGUACGACGUUUUGCAGUGCAUGUCGCUGGAUCGCGUGGCAAGGGCUGUUCUAGGCGGUUUUGGUGACCGGCGGCCUCCAUCAAAGGCAUGGAGCACUUGGCCGGCUCUGUGGGGUCUCCUCCCGCAAAGGGGCAGGGCCCCUCCCCCUUCCUUUUCCUAGGAAACUGCGGGACACUGUUCCCAACUCCCUCCCCUGGUGAGUGUGAGAGCGUCAUGACUGCUCGUUUCUUCCCCGGAAAUCCUGUUCCUCAUAUCUGUCCUUACCAGACACACCUUCUGAGUUCAUCUUUCUUCUCCUUUUAUCCCCUCAAAAUCUUGCUCCCAUUUCUAAAUCACAUCCUUGGCCUGAGCCUGAAAAUCUUUUGCUGUUGCUCUUGUUCCUUCUAUGGUAGUUUUAGUCCUCAAGCGCUCUUGUUCUAAAGUGGUCUCCGGAUGAAGCGCCAUCCCCAGGCAUGAGGCCUAGCACCCCGCGGCCUAAACCGGGAGGGUGAUGACGUCACUUCCUGCUCAGUUUCCUGUCCUGCCAUUGGCCGGCAGGGUGGAGUGGGAGGGGAAAAGUGCGGGCAGGAGGCGGUGCGUGGGUCAGAAGGAAGUAGCAGUGAAUGACACCAGGCCAGGGGGCGGGUCUUAUGCAGAUGAGACAGGCCCAGGGGCUGCUGUUCAGACUCCCGUUGGUCACAGACUCUAUGACUUCCUGAGCCACAGGGAUGGAGUCCAGGAUGGUUGCCUGAAUUUGAGAGCAACUUCUUUGCAGAGGACCCCAGGGACUGGGGGAGGGGGUCCUAGAGACUGGGAGUGGACUGUGUAAGGCUAUAAGGCUAUGCCAGGGCAGCAGGGAACGAUGUUUCAUGCGCUGUGCCACAGAUAGCCCCCAAAUGGAGGUGCUUCCUCAGGGUAAGGUUGCUGAAUCGUACUUCAUCGUUUGUCAUCCCCAUCAUUUUUCCAACUUUGAGGGUCUGACUGUGUCAUAUGUGACCCCGAGUCCUGGUGCAUGGGCUGUGUCCUGUUUGGGAUUUCCUGAGAGCUGUCUUAAUCCCGAGCUGUUCUCCUAAUCUUUCUUUCCUUCCAAAUUGGCCACUCUAGCUCUUCUGCUGAUCUAGUGCUGUGGGCACUGAGUUCUCUCCUGCUCCCUUCAUGAGGCCUGCCACAGACUCAGGGGAGGAACAACACUGGCCAGGCCCAGGGUCUUUACUGUCUGUUGCUUGGCUCCUGUUGCUGCUGGCUAAUGGUUUUUGUUUUGUCGUUGCUCUGUGAGUGAGUGUGCGUGUGUUUUGCCACGUGUUUACAUUGGGUGUGAGCUUUUGGGGACACAUGAGAAAGCUGAUGCUGGGAACCUCAGGCCACCUUCUGUGGGUUCUGCUGCUUCUCUGGCUUCUCUCCAGGUUGUUGACCUCUGUUGGAGGCCACUGUCCCCUCACCUCUGCCUUUGGGCAUUUCCUGUCUACAGGCCUCUGACAUCCUUGGAAUGCUCUGGCCACCCAGCCCUUGAGGAGCUCUUGCCUAGGAACCCACAAAAUGCCUGGGGUAACUGGGAAUCCUCUUCUCUGCCAUGGUUAUCAAACACACUUCCUUCUUAGAAGGUCCCAAGAAUUAGGACAAUUCUGAGUCCCCCCACCCCCUACCCCCCAAUAAAGCUUGGCAUCUCAGUCCAUGGCUCUAGAAUGCACUGGAUUCCAAGCUCCUCAGAGAUACCCGCUGUUGGUCCAGGGACACUAGGUCAGAGCUAUGGUUGCCAGCACCAUGCUUGUCACACAGGGCCUCCUCCAGUCCUGGUGCCACCACUUGUCUGGUUGGGACCAGGGCCCACCUCCUGGGCUUCCCCUGUGGGUCACGUGGAUGGAAUAGUGUCCCACACCUCCUAGUGCUGUGCAGAUGGAGAUACCCCAACUGCUCACUUAGCACAGUUUGUGCUUCCUGGUAUGAUCUGCAUUGACAGAAUGAUAUAUUUUCUUCAACUGGAUCAUGCAAUAUGCAGAAGGCUGCAGAAAACAUAAACGUACACCUUAAUGAAUGGCUGUAAAUUAAAAUAACGCCCACCUAGAUCAAUACCUACAAUUUAUGAGACUUCCAGAAGCUUCACACGUGCCCCUUCCUAAAGACAUUUUAUUCCCUGCCCUUAGCAGUAACCGCAGUCUUAUGUUCAUGGUGUUCCAUUCCUCGUUUACUUCAUAGUUUCAUUUAUCAUGCACUCCGCACAGGUCUGGGUUUAACCUGUAAUCAUACGGUAUAUAUUCUCUUCUGUCUGGCUUUUUUCACUAAAAAUUAUGGAUUCAGGAGUCAUCAGUGAUUCCUCCGUUGCCAUGGCUAACGAACUAUACCCCGAUUUAGUUCUCCAUUCUAUUGACGAUGGACAUUUGGGUUGUUUCCAGUUUGCGGCUCUUUCACACAAUGAGGCUAUGGUUCUUAUUGUGCAGGUGUCCUGAACUCAGUGGAUCACACAACAAGGAGUGGAAUUCUAGGGUCCUGUAUUUCGCCUGUCCAAGACUUUCUGAGGUUAAAAAACAAAUUAUAACGCAAAGCUGCAGAUUGUAAAAUUCAUAGGAACAGAAUAGAAUAAACUGAAUCCAUGUGAUUACUGGAUAUAUAGAUGCAAGCUUACAUGUUCGAGUACUAAUCAGUGUGUUUUCUAUGUUCAUCCUCCCCGCUCCAUUCAAGUUUGACAUCUCCACGUAUCCAACUAGAAUGACCUGGGAGGGCUAGAACCUAUUCAGCAGGGGGACCCCAUGGCUCCAUGAGGAGACCUGGCCUACACAUGCUUUUCUCUUGGGAGCUUUUUAUACUUUGGACUCUCCAGACCCUCUCACAAGACCAGGGUUUGGCAAAUGAAGGAUUUGGGCCCAGGCUUGGGGAUAGCCAGUGGAAAAAGAAAGGAUCUCCAGAACGAGGGCAUUGGAGGAGGAAUGAGAGGCUGUUCCUGUGGAAAGAAAGGAGGCUGGAGGAUGAGAGACCAGAAUUUGUGUUUGCAGACUCGGAUAAAGGGGAAUUCCAGAGAGAGGGGCUGCCAUUCUGGGGCCAGGGACUAGAGCCACCUUGGUAUUCAGCUCCCCG